Gambusia affinis (western mosquitofish) is the source of this 403-nucleotide long non-coding RNA. RefSeq lists it as uncharacterized. Lineage: Eukaryota; Metazoa; Chordata; Actinopteri; Cyprinodontiformes; Poeciliidae. The record is from RefSeq and is a predicted model, not a curated record. The transcript has 3 exons.
UAUGGGUGCUGGUAUUAAAUGUACAGCUCUGACCUUAAAUCAGUCUUGGAAAGUCUCAUCUAACGUCUCUCUCCCCAGUUCCUCCUGGAUGUUUUGAUAUCGCAAAGCAGCUGAUUCCAAAGCUUCCUUGAUGUCAGAGUUGCAGCGGGCUGUCCAUCAGAGCGCUGACAGGUUGCUGCGGCUGCUGCAGCCGCCGCCGCUGUCUGCAGGCACCAGUGAGCCCGUGAAGGAUGGAGACAUCUGGAUGUCUGAGCUCUUCUCUCCUGGAACGUGCUGCUCAGCCUGCAUGACAGGACAUGAGGAGUUGGGACCGGAUCCAGCAGCCAUGUCACCUGAGCGACACCCACUGCAUACUAAUGAGGAGCCGGAGGAAGGAGGGAGGGGGGGAAGCAGAAUCUGACGC